CUUAGGAAUUAUGAAAAUGCUAUUGGGCUGGCCCCAAAAUAGACUACAUUCUAGUAAUCCCCCACCAGAUCCGAGAGGCACAUAAAAUUUGCCUUUGGCUCCAAAAUACUGUUUAUAUACCGGUACUACAGUGGAGACUGUUAAGUUGAACUUUCAUCUAGAACUAUAUGCUACACUAGUAAGCAACUUGAAUAGUGAACUAGGCCUUGAAGUGCCAUUUUUUCUGCGAAUCUAGUUUAACACAAAACCUCGACUGAUAUUGGGCUACCAUGGGACUUCCACGCAAGUGGAGCUUAUGUGUCAUAUCUAUUGCCCUUCAUGAGUUUACUAGAGAGCACCCUACUCUCAUAGACUGCGAUGUUUAACAAUCAGACUCAUAUAGGUGUAUUCUUCAAAAGAUGUUCUAUAGUGCAACAUAUCUGAUUAAAUAAGCCACUUAGAACACAUUAAGAUAUACGUCAACCUACCAUGCAGAUUAGUAGAGUAUCAUGGAG
This 494-nucleotide long non-coding RNA is filed under the name Hordeum vulgare. RNAcentral's name for it is "long non-coding RNA (HVUL_LNC012013)". The record is from RNAcentral. Lineage: Eukaryota; Viridiplantae; Streptophyta; Magnoliopsida; Poales; Poaceae.